Dama dama (fallow deer) is the source of this 73-nucleotide non-coding RNA. The record is from the annotation of a RefSeq genome assembly. NCBI's taxonomy places the organism in Eukaryota, Metazoa, Chordata, Mammalia, Artiodactyla, Cervidae.
UCCCUGGUGGUCCAGUGGCUAAGACUCUGUGUUCCUAAUGCAGGGGGCCUGGGUUCAAUCCCUGGUCAGGGAA